AGAGGGAAACAGCCCAGACCGCCAGCUAAGGUCCCAAAGUAACCGUUAAGUGGCAAAGGAUGUGGAGUUGCCCAGACAACCAGGAUGUUGGCUUAGAAGCAGCCAUCAUUCAAAGAGUGCGUAAUAGCUCACUGGUCAAGUGACUCUGCGCCGAAAAUGUAACGGGGCUAAACGGUUCACCGAAGCUGCGGAUGUCCUUCGGACAUGGUAGGGGAGCGUUCCAAACAGCAGCGAAGCUGCUUCGUGAGAAGCGGUGGAGCGUUUGGAAGUGAGAAUGCCGGUAUGAGUAGCGAAAAGAAGGGUGAGAAUCCCUUCCACCGAAAGCCUAAGGUUUCCUGAGGAAGGUUCGUCCGCUCAGGGUUAGUCGGGACCUAAGCCGAGGCCGAAAGGCGUAGGCGAUGGACAACAGGUUGAGAUUCCUGUACCACCUUGUUCCGUUGACGACGGGGGGACGCAGGAGGGUAGAGAAUCGCGCGACUGGUUGUGCGCGUCCAAGCAGUGAGGCUGAAGAGACAGGCAAAUCCGUCUCUUCUUAAGGCCAGGCUGUGAUGGCGAGGGAAGUUU
This 564-nucleotide ribosomal RNA is filed under the name Thermoactinomyces sp. CICC 24226. Its description in RNAcentral is "partial 23S ribosomal RNA". It matches the Rfam family "Bacterial large subunit ribosomal RNA", at positions 1014 to 1581 of the family's 2925-position model. Lineage: Bacteria; Bacillati; Bacillota; Bacilli; Caryophanales; Thermoactinomycetaceae. The record is from RNAcentral.